Molecule: ribosomal RNA, 3019 nt
Filed under: Caldifarciminota bacterium
Lineage: Bacteria; Pseudomonadati; Caldifarciminota
Description: candidate division WOR-3 bacterium 23S ribosomal RNA
Rfam family: Bacterial large subunit ribosomal RNA
Source: RNAcentral
CCUCAAGCUAGAAAGGGCACAUGGUGAAUGCCUUGGCAGUUGGAGGCGAUGAAGGACGUGGUAAGCUGCGUUAAGCGUCGGAGAGGUGCACACAACCUUUGACCCGGCGAUUUCCGAAUGGGGAAACCCGUGCGGGGUCAUGCCCGUACAUCCUGGGAUGAAUCGAUAGUCCCAGGAAGCGAACCCGGGGAAGUGAAACAUCUCAGUACCCGGAGGAAAAGAAAGCGACUGCGAUUCCCUCAGUAGUGGCGAGCGAACGGGGAACAGCCUAAACCGAUCCCGGUGCCAAGUCGGCGGACGUUGCCGGGGCGGUGUCGCGGGACCAACCUUGUCUACUGCCGUGCGACAGAGGAGUCAGAAAGGUCCAUUCCUAGCCGAAUCACCCUGGAAAGGAGAACCAGAGACGGUGACAGUCCGGUAGGCGAAAGGAAUGAACUCUCCUGGUUGAGUUCCCAAGUACCACGGGACACGGGAAAUCCCGUGGGAAUUCGGGAGGACCACCUCUCAAGGCUAAACACUACCAACUGACCGAUAGCGCACAAGUACCGUGAGGGAAAGGUGAAAAGAACCCCUGGCGGGGAGUGAAAUAGAACCUGAAACCACGUGCCUACAAUCAGCGGGAGCAAGCGCUUGUCUUUCCUUCGGGUUCGACUCGCGCUGUGACCGCGUGCCUUUUGCAUAAUGAGCCGGCGAGUGACUGUGUGCAGCGAGGCUAAGUCUCUCUGAGACGCAACCGCAGCGAAAGCGAGUCCUAAUCGGGCGACCAGUUGCACGCACUCGACCCGAAGCCCGGUGAUCUACCCAUGGCCAGGUUGAACUCUCGGUAACACGAGAGGGAGGACCGAACCGGUGAGUCUUGCAAUACUCUCGGAUGAGCUGUGGGUCGGAGUGAAAGGCUAAUCAAACCGGGUGAUAGCUGGUUCUCCCCGAAAUGCUUUUGGGAGCAGCCUCAGGAGUUCAGUUGCGGAGGUAGAGCACUGAACGGGCGCUCUGACACAAUGUGUCGGAAAACCCGACCAAACUCCGAAUGCCGCAACUCCAGAUCCUGGGAGUGAGGCCGCGAGCUAUGAGGUCCGUGGCCGAGAGGGGAAUAACCCAGACCAUCAGCUAAGGCCCCUAAGUGUAUGCUAAGUGGAAAAAGAGGUGGGAAUACACAGACAGCUGGGAUGUUGGCUUAGAAGCAGCAACCAUUCAAAGAGUGCGUAACAGCUCACCAGUCGAGUGUUCCUGCGCUGAAAAUAUAUCGGGGCUCAAGCAUACCGCCGAAGCUAUGGACUUGUCCUGACUCCGGUCAGGAUGAGUGGUAGGGGAGCGUUCUGUUGUAGGCUGAAGGUGUGCCGCGAGGCAUGCUCGACGAACCAGAAGUGAUUAUGCCGGCAUGAGUAGCGACAAGACAGGUGAAAAACCUGUCCGCCGAAAACCCAAGGUUUUCUGGGGAAGGUUAAUCCGCCCAGAGUUAGUCGGGCCCUAAGCCGAGGCCGAAAGGCGUAGGCGAUGGAAAUCCGGUCAACAUUCCGGAACCACCUUGGUACCGUUACGAGCUAUGGGGAGACGCAGCCGCGAUCGUCCGGCCCCGUGUCGGAUCGGGGUCUAAGCCGCCGGGAUGGGGCGCAGGCAAACCCACGCCCGCAAUUCCUGACGGCGAAUGGGAUUCUGUCGCAAGACAGAAGAACCGGACCUGAACGGCUGCCGAGAAAAUCCUCUGUGCCAGGUGCCGGGGUGCCCGUACCGUAAACCGACACAGGUGGGUGAGGUGAGUAUCCAAAGGCGCUCGAGUGAUGUCUCGUUAAGGAACUCGGCAACAUGACCCCGUAACUUCGGGAUAAGGGGUCCCGCCGCAAGGCGGGCGCAGAGAAGUGGCGCUGGCGACUGUUUAGCAAAAACACAGGUCUCUGCCAAGCCGCAAGGCAACGUAUAGGGACUGACACCUGCCCGGUGCCGGAAGGUUAAGGAAGGGGCUCAGCUCACUUCGGUGGGCGAAGGUCUCGACCGAAGCCCCGGUAAACGGCGGCCGUAACUCUAACGGUCCUAAGGUAGCGAAAUUCCUUGUCGGGUAAGUUCCGACCUGCACGAAUGGUGUAACGACUGGCGCGCUGUCUUGACGGGAUGCUCGGCGAAAUUGAAGUGGCGGUGAAGAUGCCGCCUACCCGCGAUCGGACAAAAAGACCCCGUGAACCUUUACUGCAACUUGUCAUUGGAUCUUGGCAGUGCAUGUGUAGCAUAGGUGGGAGGCUUUGAAGCCGGGACGCCAGUCCCGGUGGAGCCACCGGUGAAAUACCACCCUUGUUCUGUUGGGGUUCUAACAUCAUGCCGUGAAGCCGGCUGGUGGACAGUGGCUGGUGGGCAGUUUGACUGGGGCGGUCGCCUCCUAAACGGUAACGGAGGCGUUCAAAGGUCAGCUCGGUACGGACGGUCACCGUACGGUGAGUGCAAGGGCAUAAGCUGGCCUGACUGUGAGACGGACACGUCGAGCAGGGACGAAAGUCGGACCUAGUGAUCCUGUGGCACUGCGUGGAAAGGCCAUAGCUCAGCGGACAAAAGGUACUCCGGGGAUAACAGGCUGAUUCCGCCCGAGAGUUCACAUCGACGGCGGAGUUUGGCACCUCGAUGUCGGCUCAUCGCAUCCUGGGGCUGUACAAGGUCCCAAGGGUUGGUCUGUUCGCCCAUUAAAGCGGUACGUGAGCUGGGUUCAGAACGUCGUGAGACAGUUCGGACUCUAUCCAUCGUGGGCGUAGGAAACUUGAGGGAAGCUGCUCUUAGUACGAGAGGACCAGAGUGGACGUACCUCUGAUGCACCAGUUGUCCUGCCAAGGGCACGGCUGGGUAGUCAAGUACGGAAGAGAUAACCGCUGAAGGCAUCUAAGCGGGAAGCUCCUCCCAAGAUUAGGUUUCCCGUGUGGACCUGCUUCGGCAGGCCCACCCUGAAGGCCCCUGGAAGACUACCAGGUGAUAGGUCACAGGUGUAAGCACAGAGAUGUGUUCAGCCGAGUGAUACUAAUAGGCCGUGCGGCUUGGGGUU